AGGGGGUGGGAACAGGCUCAUUCCGCCUGGCCUGGCCCGGCCCACAGGAUGAUGCUAGGAAAAUUAAAAAAAGUAAAUAAUGCUAAUAAAAACAUUCUCUAUAUUGAUGACAUCUUACAGUGUGAUCAAUAUCCUUUAGUUUCAUACUUUCAGUUUUUUACUUUCAUUCUACCAAAUCUAAUUUCGUAAUAUAUUGGAGAACAGGCCCGUUUCUAGGACGGUUUCAUCAGGCGUACGCGCCUGGACCUAAGUUAACUUCCGGUCUGUGUUUGUUUAUCAGUCUUGUUAGCGGCUACAAACACAGUUAAAGUUAAAGUGAUGAGUAAUGAAGUUGGGCUCAGGUUGAUGUGCUGUGGGAUGUGUUUCACAUACAUUUAUUUAUUUGUGGCGACCCGCCACGAUAUAAAAACUGACCGAUUUUCCAAAUGGCUUCGUUGAAUAAACAUGAGCAUGUAAUGCACGUUUAAAAAUCAAAACGAGGCGCAGGCGUUUUUAUAUCACUGUAUUUCUGAAGGAACACUGUCUUUAGAAAAUACUCGAUGUCAUUUUGGCCGCAUUUACACUGCAUGGUUCAAGUGACCCAAUUCCGAUUUUUUUUCCUCCCAUGUGGCACAGAUCGGAUAUGGCCCACGACCGUGUAAACAGGAAAAAAUCACAUGGAUUCCGAUAUUCUCCGAUCGGUUUCAGGCCUCAUUCAUAUGUAGAAAUAAAUCAGAUUUGAAUCGGAUACGUGCAUUUGCGCCUGCCGUGUAAGCGGUCAGAUCGGAUAUUCUCCUGUAAAUGCGACUCCUACGUCAUUGAAAAGUGAGGUUUUUGAAACAUUUCGCGGUACAGACAUACCUGUAACAAAUGAAACAUCUCUAGUUGAGUAGCAGAGUAUUAAUUUCGUUCGUUUGUGUUAAAUAAAAGGCGGUUUGACGCUGAAAUGUGUUGUUUUUGAAAUCACGCUGAGUGCUCCUGCUGUCAGUUUCGACGGCUCGUGCUCAGACGAGCGCUUCAGUCCCGUUCGUUCCAUUGAAACCACAAAAUAAAAUGCACACAAACAUGUCCCUGCCUUUGAUAUACAAUCACUGAUGAACGCAUUUAGUUUCAAUUACUAAAAAAACACAAGACGAUGUGACAUGCUUAAUAGCUAAUAUAUCUACCACCUGAGUAUUCCACUCGCAAGCUUUCAGCGGAGCUGCGUAGCCUACAUCACUGUCCUGAAGAAUUACUAGGAUAUAUAAUUAUUUUGAUGUAUAGAUGUAACUAUUGCAUUAAAAACGUUUCUAUAUGAAUUCCAUGUCAAUAAAUUAAACUUAAUGUACCAUUCAAAUUGAUUUGUGAUGUCAUGCUAUUUUUGGCUUGUUUCACCAAGUGCAGUGUAAAAGGCACACAUCGGAUACGGGUCACUUUUAAAAGAAAUGUAAGCACGCCGUCCAAAAAAAUCGGAUAUAGUCACAAAAUCGGAAUUGGUCAUCAAGACCUGCAGUGUAAAUGCAGCCUGUCAUUUCAUCUUGCAUGUUAUAUGCCUGAUAAAGCGGCGUUUGUAAGCUCAGCGCUGCUUUGUGUAACUACAGCCCAACAGCUGUUUCCGGGGAAACCUCUAGUUCUCCGCUUUAAAGCGCCUCCUGCUGGCAGAGAAUAAAUUUGCAUUUUUAAAAAGUCUGUCCAAGUAGUUAUCGCUGCGCGCCCGCCGGAUUCUUUAGCUAAACGGCCCCAAACCGUUUCCCAUUCAUUCUCAAUGGUAGUGCUAAACCACUACGGAUGCAAUAUACUUUCGGCCGCUAGCGCUCUCGUGGCGCUCUUCCGCGCUUCGGCACCGCGGGAAGUUUGAAUUCACAGAAGAAGAAAACAGCCUCGGUUGUUUCAUUCAACGCAUUCUCAAGCAUCUGUCAAAGGUAAGAUACUUUAUGUGACAUCGGUUUACGUUUUGUUACCGUUAAUGCUGAAAUCACAUUAGUAAACUUUGUUCGUUUCCAAACUUUGCCCUGUCGGGUUUGUUUACUAUAGUUCAUCGUAGGUUGAUUAUUUGCACGCCAAAUUAUGAAUGAACAUGGCUGUAAUUGUUUCUGUGUAUUGUUUGUCAUCAUUAAUACGUCAUCUGUUGAUUACAAGCUAAAUUAUGAAUGGGCGUAACCAUUAUUCUCAUUUUUGUAAUGAUAUUACAUGUAUUCCACAGUUCAAAAAUGUUUUCUGACCAUGGUUUUACUAUAGUAACCAUAAUUUAGCCAUGGUAUUUUAGCAGUAGAGUCACAAAAAUAAAUUUACCAUUGUUGUUACUGUAUUGGCCAUUAUAUUUACAGUACAGCCAUGAAAUUGUAAAUAAAUUUCAGUCUGCCAAGAACAGCAGGAGUACUACAGUAUUAUAGUGUGUGUGUGUGUGUGUGUGUGUGUGUGAGAGAGAGUGUGAGUGAGUGUGAGAGAGAGUGUGUGUACCUGUUUUUCUAUUCAGGUGGGGACUUAAAACUGAAUACACACAGACUCAUGGGGACUCGUGUCACGGAGACCACUGUUUCUACACUGCUGUCAUCUUUUCCUGGUACCCAUGUAGAUCCUCAGUCAGAUACAGGAAGUACAUAUACGCCACCUCUGCCUCUGCUGGCCUCACCUGCGACCCGUACUGGACCUGUGAAGAGUGGUGGCAGGGUGUUUGUACUGGACCACAAACACAGAGCCCAUUGACAACUUGCUUAAUAAACACAGUGGGAAGAAGGAAAUCCUCAGGAGUAUGCAGCAAUGGUCCACAAUUCCUCUACUGAUCCAAACAGCAUGCUCCAUUCGACCACAAAGCUGCACAUUUCACAGUAUGUCAAGCACCUGGCCAAACUGCUGAACACCAGUUCUUCAUUAAACAACUCCAGAGAAACGUCUUGAUAGCGGGUAGUAAAACAACCAGAGUGCCACUGGUAACAAUGAAGCCUGCGGAUGUAAACCCACCAGCACCUGCUCUGACCACACUCCUAACUCAUGAGACCAUUGAGACAAUUGUGUUAUGGAGUAGCAGCAGCAACCUGAGCAGGAGAAGACUUGUCUUGCUUGUGGACAGCCAAAGAUGGUUCCUCUAUCCACUUUUCUUAAUCAGCAAGGCCCUGUCAGGUACUUCUACUGUUCCACAAAGGUUUUUAAUGCUUACAGUGAUUAAGGACUAACAAACCCCAGAGUUAUCUAAGAGUGAACUUGAGGACACAAAGAAAUGGGUGGAGGAGAAAGGACAGCAAAAACACAAAAGGCCUGAAACUGAACACGUUAGUCGCUUGUGCAGAUUUUGUAAAAUGGAGCUGAAGCAGGGUCAAAACAGUCCUCACAUACACACAGGCUUUCCUGGCGUAGCAGGGAAAUAUGUUCAUUGCCCUGCUAAAGUCUUUUCCAUUUACCAACCUCAGGACAUGCAGAAAGAUGACCCGGAAAGAGUUUAAAGAGUCUGCAUUUUACGAGAUGGAAAGACAGAGAUGGGUGGCAGAAAAAAAGAAAUAAAUGACAUUUCUUGAUCUUUUGCCCCUUAGUAAUAUUUAACUCAUGUAUAUACUGUAUAUUUUGAUUUGUUUAUUGUUCAGUGUGAGACUGUAAUAUGUAUAUUUUGUCAGAAUUCAAUUUUUC
Molecule: long non-coding RNA, 3579 nt
Organism: Onychostoma macrolepis
Lineage: Eukaryota; Metazoa; Chordata; Actinopteri; Cypriniformes; Cyprinidae
Exons: 3
Source: RefSeq, a predicted model, not a curated record